Molecule: long non-coding RNA, 894 nt
Organism: Alligator sinensis (Chinese alligator)
Lineage: Eukaryota; Metazoa; Chordata; Crocodylia; Alligatoridae
Exons: 3
Source: RefSeq, a predicted model, not a curated record
CGCGACGGGCGGCUCGACACCCCGUCCGACACCGCCCCGCCGGCCAAAGCGGGCGCCGCGGACACCAGUCUCUGAAGCCGGCAGGGACCGAGUGGGAGAGACCUGCCUGGCGUCGUCCGGCUCGGGAUGCCUGAAGUAGACCGGCCGAGGACGUCUGUGUGCGUCUGGCCAGGGACGCUGGGAUUAGCCGGUCUGGGAUGUCUGGACUAGUUUGGCCGGGGCGGCCCGAAUUAGACUGGCCUGGGGACACCUGGAUUAGGCUGCCCAGGGCUGCCUGGCUAAAUCCAAGACGUUGCCCGAGACCUUGUGAACUAGACUGGACAAAACAGUGAGAAAUAGGGAGCGAUCUUGUCCCCUGCAGAAGGAUGGGCUCAAAUUGUUGGAUUAGGCUGGCCUGGAUCAGUCUGGCCUCCCUCGCUUGGGACGUUGUGGACCAGACAGCACUGGGAAAUAGGGACCGAUCCUGCCCCCUGCAGGAGGAUGGACUGGGAGGGCUGGAGGGGCGGUUUUUCCCGUCAUAAGGUUUCUUUCUUCUGUUUGCCAGCAUGGGAGAUGGAAAACGCCUCGAGGGACAGCUGUGUGAUUUCAGCAUCUGGGAGAAAGGGGCCCACGUGCCAGCCCAGGGAGCUCUGGAGAAAAGGUGGCAGCCAUCGCUUUGUGCGGCUCAUCCCCAAAGGGCAAAGAGUGCCGGGAGGAGGGUGAAGUGUGCCCCAAGCUGGCUACCUGCCAGUGACUCACUGCUAAGUGCGGACAGCCUCGAAGCUCUGGACUGUGGUGACACGCAACAGUGUGAGGAGGAUCAGUGUUAAAUCACAAAUGAUGCAAAACAAAUGGAGCAAUCGUAUUGAUUUGGAAGGAUUCUUUGAGGUGACUUGGAUGGACAUUUUGAAGGGC